AAUCAACGCUGGCGGCGCGCCUAACACAUGCAAGUCGAACGAGAAAAUCACCUUCGGGUGGUGAGUACAGUGGCGAACGGGUGAGUAACACGUGGGUUACCUGCCCUCGAGUGGGGAAUAACCCUGGGAAACCGGGGCUAAUACCGCAUACGGUCUACGGACUAAAGCUUUAUGCGCUCGAGGAGGGGCCCGCGGUCGAUUAGUUAGUUGGUGGGGUAAAGGCCCACCAAGACGUCGAUCGAUAGCCGGCCUGAGAGGGCACACGGCCACACUGGCACUGAGACACGGGCCAG
This 293-nucleotide ribosomal RNA is filed under the name uncultured bacterium. Its description in RNAcentral is "partial 16S ribosomal RNA". It matches the Rfam family "Bacterial small subunit ribosomal RNA", at positions 32 to 334 of the family's 1533-position model. The record is from RNAcentral.